This 201-nucleotide ribosomal RNA is filed under the name uncultured bacterium. RNAcentral's name for it is "partial 16S ribosomal RNA". It matches the Rfam family "Bacterial small subunit ribosomal RNA", at positions 524 to 723 of the family's 1533-position model. The record is from RNAcentral.
UACGUAGGGCGCAAGCGUUAUCCGGAAUUAUUGGGCGUAAAGAGCUCGUAGGCGGUUUGUCGCGUCUGCCGUGAAAGUCCGGGGCUCAACUCCGGAUCUGCGGUGGGUACGGGCAGACUAGAGUGCAGUAGGGGAGACUGGAAUUCCUGGUGUAGCGGUGAAAUGCGCAGAGUAUCAGGAGGAACACCGAUGGCGAAGGCA